RNAcentral lists this ribosomal RNA (252 nucleotides) under uncultured bacterium. Its description in RNAcentral is "partial 16S ribosomal RNA". It matches the Rfam family "Bacterial small subunit ribosomal RNA", at positions 524 to 776 of the family's 1533-position model. The record is from RNAcentral.
UACAGAGGUCCCAAGCGUUGUUCGGAUUCACUGGGCGUAAAGGGUGCGUAGGUGGUUGUGCAAGUCUGAUGUGAAAUCUCCGGGCUUAACCCGGAAAUGGCAUUGGAAACUGCACAGCUAGAGGUUUGGAGGGGGGAUGGAAUUCCGCGUGUAGCAGUGAAAUGCGUAGAUAUGCGGAGGAACACCGAUGGCGAAGGCAAUCCCCUGGGCCUGCACUGACGCUCAUGCACGAAAGCGUGGGGAGCAAACAGG